Long non-coding RNA from Oreochromis niloticus (Nile tilapia), 1616 nucleotides. RefSeq lists it as uncharacterized. The record is from RefSeq and is a predicted model, not a curated record. Lineage: Eukaryota; Metazoa; Chordata; Actinopteri; Cichliformes; Cichlidae. The transcript is spliced from 3 exons.
AUUGUUGAUGUUAUUUGAACAGACCUGUCGCUGUGUCAGUCUGAAUGGGAGAUUAGAGACCGACACAUGUUUGUUGCUGCUCCAUGUUCUCUGCAACAUUGUGUGUAGUUACUGCAGCUGUGUGUGCAUUCUGCUGGCAGGAGCAGGAAACAAGUGAAAGAAAACUGGCGAGCACCCUGGAAGGAAAACUUAAUCAGACAAAACAAGUUAAAACGGUUUGCAAGUUUCAAGCCAAACUGCUGAAUCUACCGUCCAGAGCUGGGAUGCUCGUCUUCUGAUGGAGCGCUCUCGAGCUGUGAUGGGUCCAGAUAUCAGCGCUCACCUGGCUGGUACCAAGAAGGUUCAGCAAGUGCUCGCCAGACCUGGAGUCCUGGAGAGGUUCUUCCUGGACCAGCCUCAAGCUGUGCAGCAGAUCUGAGCGACAUUGGCUGACCUCUACACUCCAGACAUGGGUGCAGAGAGGGACAAAACAGUAUCAAUGGCCUUGGCAGCAGCAGAACGGUUGGUCUUGAAGCCUCAGCGAGAAGGAGGAGGUACAGCGGGGGGACAGACGCAUCUUUAAAAAUGUUGACAAUGCAGCAAAUGCUGAAACUUCUGUUUAUUGCUCACCAUUUGCAGCUUUAAUGGCUUCCAUUUGUCAGCCAAGGUUUUUCCUACAAGAUUUUUUUUAACAUGUCUGUGGAUUUUUUCUGUUUUUUGUGCCCAUUCAUCCAGAAGAGCAUUUGUUAGGUCAAACACCGAUGUUGGACGUUUACAAUCUCCAUUCUGGUUCAUCACAAUGGUGCUCUAGGAGUUAAGAUCAGGGCUCAAAGCAAGCCACUCUGCUUCUAUGCCAGACACAUUCAAUCAUGUCUUUAUGGACCAUGUUUGUGCAUUAGGUCACAGUCGUGUUGGAAGGGAAAAAGACCCUCCCUAAACUGUUCUCACAAUGUUUUAAGCACAAAGUGGUCCAAAAUGUCUUGGUAACCUGAAGCGUUAAGAUUUCCUUUCACUGGAACCACAAGACCCAGGCCAAAGUCAGAGGAGAAAUAAAUGAAUACUAUUCAAAACGUUUAGCUUUCAACUCCUAAAACCGAUGCAGGUUAAACCUCUGUUUAAUACUAACCUAAAAUUCUGGAACAUAGACCAAAUGACAUCAAAAAUAUCAUUUCAGCGACACACGUGACAAACUGUGCCAGUCAACGGGCAUAGUUGUAGUUCUUCAAGGUUUGUGAGGGCAUUUGGAUUCAUUUCCGGUUGUCAGCUGUAGGAAGGCCUUAUAAUGCUCUAAUUAGCUUCAUUGUGUGGCUAGACAACAAUAACAACAGGAAAGUAAUCGUUAUAUAACUUUUAUUGUGAAGAACAUAUGGCUAUGGAUACUGCUGACUAAUAGUAGUAAUAGUAAUUGACAGCUUCCAGUCAGUGGGUCCUUUCUUCUCUGAUGCGUACAUCUUCAAGCGCCAUAACCAAGGUUCUAUAUUAAAAUGGUGGCUUUUCAUUGGUGUUAACUUUAGACAUCACAUUUAUAAGGCUCUUUAAAAACGUCAUUUAUUAAACUUUUCUCUUACCUGAAAUAAACAGGCUGUCUUGAUUCAAUGCAGAUUAUCACAAAUUUCACACAGUGUAUCAAUAUUCUA